CUUGUCUCAACGCCACAGCUCCUGAACUCUCUCUCUCUCUCUCUCUCCUUGCAGAGAGUACCAGAAAAAUCAAUGGCGAACCUGAAUCUCACGCAGAAUGGUAACUUUUCCUCUCUGGCACCGAUAAUCCCCGCCGCCGGCGACGACAACGGCCGAUCGACGCUGAUCUUUCUCGGCACCGGUUGCUCCAGCGCCGUCCCCAACGCAAUGUGCCUGAUCCAGCCCUCCGAUCCCCCCUGCGCCGUUUGCUCUCAGUCACUCUUCGUCCCACCUGAGAAAAACCCUAAUUACAGGUGCAAUACGUCUCUUUUGAUUGAUUAUUGCCAAAGCGAUGCAAAUCGCAGCUAUAUAUUGAUUGAUGUUGGGAAGACAUUCAGAGAACAAGUUCUUAGAUGGUUCACUCUCUAUAAGAUUCCUAGAGUGGAUUCCAUUGUUUUGACGCAUGAACAUGCGGAUGCAGUCCUUGGUCUGGAUGAUAUACGUGCUGUUCAACCAUUUAGCCCCAGUAAUGAUAUAGAUCCCACUCCGAUUUAUUUAACUGAGUUUGCAAUGGAGAGCCUUGCAGUGAAGUUUCCUUACUUGGUCCAGAAAAAAUUAAAAGAAGGCCAAGAAGUGAGACGAGUAGCACAACUUGAGUGGAAGAUUAUUGAAGGCAACCAUGAGAAAUCAUUUGUUGCAUCAGGCCUGAAGUUUGUUCCUUUGCCAGUGAUACAUGGGGAAGACUAUAUCUGUUUAGGUUUUCUCUUUGGUGAAAAAUGCCGGGUGGCUUAUAUAUCUGAUGUUUCACGCUUUCCUGCGAGCAUAGAGUAUGUAAUUUCAAAAGAUGGGGUUGGACAAGUGGAUUUACUCAUAUUGGACACACUUUAUAAGACGGGAUCUCAUAAUGUCCACCUUUGCCUCCCACAGACUCUUGAAGCUUUGAAGAGGAUACGUCCAAAACAAGCCCUGUUAAUUGGAAUGACUCAUCAAUUUGACCACCACAAAGACAAUGAGUUUCUUGCUGAAUGGUCCAAAAGGGAAGGAAUUCAAGUGCAGCUUGCGCAUGAUGGUUUAAGAGUUCCCAUAGACCUGUAACGAGGUUAGUUGGUUAUUUCACUCCAUGCUGGUGGGUGGAGACCAACCCAAUAUUCUGAGUCAGAUUAUUGAUAGUUUGAUCAUCUCACAAAAGUUUCAAUAUACGAGGAUUAGGUGCCGACGCUAACUCUUGAAAAAUCCAGUACUCCAAAAAGCAUUUUCCUGCUUCAUCCAUUACAAUCAGAACACAGCAAGUUGAGUUGGCCAGCAACCAUCCGAUUGAACAUUGAGAAGGUUUUUUGUGGGAUUAUUUUCUCUUGUAACUCACAAUAUCUAAUGGUGUUAUCAGCUUAUGUGUCAUACUAGAUUAUGAUAAAAGCUUGGUAAGUUAUGCUUUAUAAUAAAUUAUGAAACACCAAGUCAUGUACUAAACCGUUAUAAAAAGCAUGAUAAGUAUA
Morus notabilis is the source of this 1472-nucleotide RNA transcript. It is a transcript of the gene named putative hydrolase C777.06c, with no coding region annotated. The record is from RefSeq and is a predicted model, not a curated record. The transcript has 11 exons. NCBI's taxonomy places the organism in Eukaryota, Viridiplantae, Streptophyta, Magnoliopsida, Rosales, Moraceae.